AGCUAGAUCCCAGGUGGUGGUUUUUUACUAACCCCGCCAGGUCCGGAAGGAAGCAACGGUCGUGAUUCAAUCAGGUGCUUGGUCAAUCUAGCUAUC
This 96-nucleotide signal recognition particle RNA is filed under the name bacterium. RNAcentral describes it as "signal recognition particle sRNA small type". It matches the Rfam family "Bacterial small signal recognition particle RNA". From Rfam's summary of the family: The signal recognition particle (SRP) is a universally conserved ribonucleoprotein involved in the co-translational targeting of proteins to membranes. Archaeal SRP consists of a 7S RNA and homologues of the eukaryotic SRP19 and SRP54 proteins. The record is from RNAcentral.